This 468-nucleotide ribosomal RNA is filed under the name uncultured bacterium. RNAcentral's name for it is "partial 16S ribosomal RNA". It matches the Rfam family "Bacterial small subunit ribosomal RNA", at positions 28 to 507 of the family's 1533-position model. The record is from RNAcentral.
GACGAACGCUGGCGGCGUGCUUAACACAUGCAAGUCGAACGGAAAAGCCCUGCUUUUGUGGGGUGCUCGAGUGGCGAACGGGUGAGUAACACGUGAGUAACCUGCCCUUGACUUUGGGAUAACUUCAGGAAACUGGGGCUAAUACCGGAUAGGAGCUCCUGCUGCAUGGUGGGGGUUGGAAAGUUUCGGCGGUUGCGGAUGGACUCGCGGCUUAUCAGCUUGUUGGUGGGGUAGUGGCUUACCAAGGCUUUGACGGGUAGCCGGCCUGAGAGGGUGACCGGCCACAUUGGGACUGAGAUACGGCCCAGACUCCUACGGGAGGCAGCAGUGGGGAAUAUUGCACAAUGGGCGGAAGCCUGAUGCAGCAACGCCGCGUGCGGGAUGACGGCCUUCGGGUUGUAAACCGCUUUCGCCUGUGACGAAGCGUGAGUGACGGUAAUGGGUAAAGAAGCACCGGCUAACUACGUG